UAUAUAUAUAUAUAGAGAGAGAGAGAGAGAGAGUAGGGCUACUAUAUUCUUUAUAAGUAUAGAGCCUUUCGUACUCAUAAGUUGUUUUCAAUGAUAAAGCUUCUGAAUUAAUCAACAAUUCAUAUCGUCAAAUAUGAUCUAAAGUAUUUAAAACUUAUAGAAAAUAAAUUUCGUAAUUUUUUAAAAUCAUAAUAAAAUCCAUUAAGUAAGCAUAAAAUAAAAAGUCAGAAUCAAACGAUGUCUUAAAAAUGGAUAUUAGGAUACUUCAAUUUAUGAUCANACUAUAUUCUUUAUAAGUAUAGAGCCUUUCGUACUCAUAAGUUGUUUUCAAUGAUAAAGCUUCUGAAUUAAUCAACAAUUCAUAUCGUCAAAUAUGAUUUAACAGUUGAUAUUAGGAUACUUCAAUUUAUGAUCAGAGUUAUUGAUCUUUAUCUAGAUAGUGAAUAUAGUUUUCUAUAAAAAAUUCAACCGAUUUUGAUUCUUUAACACAGUUAAACUAGCAAGUAUCUUAUAUCAACUGUUAAAAACUAUCAAUUUUAAGAUUUUUUUAAUCGUAAGGUAAAUGAUAUCAAAAAAAUAAUAAAAUUUGAUUUUUAGAAGUUCUAAAUGCUCUAGAUAAUGUUUAACUUAUAACCGAAAAUAACUUAUAAGUACGAAGGCAGGGGAAUCUCUCUCUCUAUAUAUGUAACAAUAACUACCUCAACAUUUUCCAUCACAAUUAACAAGUGCCAUCAUUAUAUAAAUUUACUAAUUAUAAACUAAACUAUUAAA
RNAcentral lists this long non-coding RNA (771 nucleotides) under Ananas comosus (pineapple). RNAcentral describes it as "long non-coding RNA (ACOM_LNC031002)". The record is from RNAcentral. Lineage: Eukaryota; Viridiplantae; Streptophyta; Magnoliopsida; Poales; Bromeliaceae.